RNAcentral lists this small RNA (421 nucleotides) under Histoplasma capsulatum var. duboisii H88. RNAcentral's name for it is "Histoplasma capsulatum H88 hypothetical RNA". Lineage: Eukaryota; Fungi; Ascomycota; Eurotiomycetes; Onygenales; Ajellomycetaceae. The record is from RNAcentral.
UGCCAAGUUGGCGUGGGGGAUAUCCUAUCUUCUCGAAGGUUUUUGUUCUCUGAAAAUCUUCUUCGCCAUCUCUCUCUAUUCGCUUAAAGGGUCACUUCAUAACCAAUUGGCAAUUCGAGAUUGUCAAUGUGGCGUGGGGGAUAUAUUUUUCUGAUACCCGCUUUACCUCACUUCCUCCUUCCGGUCGCUCUUCAUACAAAUAUCCCCCAACAACUUUUUUUGGGAAUUUGCUAAAGAACAUCCUCUUUAACAUGAACGCUUUCUAGGCAAUCGAAAUACAUUUUGGGUCCCAAUAACCAGUCAACAGCUCGAGGUUGUUUGACGUGGCGUGGAGAGUCUUGCACACUUUCUCAUCAGGCGCUAUUCCUUACCCCUUUAUGAAAAAUUUAGUUAACUCGGCCUCAGGGUAAAUUAACCAGUC